This 1097-nucleotide long non-coding RNA is filed under the name Coturnix japonica (Japanese quail). Its description in RNAcentral is "lncRNA (ENSCJPG00005000908.1)". The record is from RNAcentral. Lineage: Eukaryota; Metazoa; Chordata; Aves; Galliformes; Phasianidae.
CUUCUGGUUUUUCAGUUUAAGAUAUCCAUGCUUAGCAUUUGAAAUCUUGCAGUAUCUUUUUUCCUUCUGACUGCACAUUCAGCAUUUCGGCUUAACUCUCAUUUCAGACUAAGGAGGUACCAUAUGUUUGAGAGCAAUUUGUUGAGAAUAGAUUAUUCUCUCUGCUGUAGAACAUACUACCGCUUGGUAUUAAUGGCUCCUAUAGGAGGUUUUUAGGUCAGCACAGUCUACAGUGUUGUAAAGUCGUGUGAAAACCUUUGGUGCUCAGCCUGACGUUCUUUCAAUGCCAAAUUCACCUUUCUACUGAACAGGGAAAAAAAGUGAGAAAUAUACAGGAAUGCAAAAAAAUCUCAGUAUGAUUUACUUGGAGGUGACUAUAUUUACAGAACACAAGAUGACCUAAUGAUCUGUUUGAAUCACUUAACGAGUGCCACAAUGCAUUUGCUUCCACAAAUUUUUCUGUUCCAGUGGGUUGCAAUUGCAGGGUGUUGUCCCCAUGACCACAGCUCCCAGUCAUUCAUGCCAAGCAACAUGACCUCUGUUACUCACAGACAUAGCUCCUGCAGUCAUGGAGAUCAAAAGAACAUCGCAGCCAUUCCAGCAUCUCUAGGCUAUGCCAGGCCAAAUGCUUGUGCCUUGGCCAGUUGGAUGUGUUCUGUGGCUGUGGAGGUUUUCUUGGAAAGCUGAAGGGGAAAGUAAAUUUAAUUGAACUCUCUCUUAGUUACUUGACCUUUCACAGUCUGUGUAUGUGGGGUCUUUCUAAUGCUCCAGAAUCCUAAUUAGCUUCUGCUGUCAUAAUUAUCUUUUUUUCUUCUUCAAUGCUCAAACAAUCUCUUUGGUUGCAUCCUGAGAGCUGAGGGCCACAAAAGAUAUUAAGUGGGCAGAGAACUUCAAUCAAAGCAUCACUGCUGUGCUGACUUCAUUCCACCCCAGUAUUAAAAAGAGAAAUCUGGAAAAUUAGAAUCAAAAACUGAAAGCAUCAUGGCUUCUCCAUACAUGUUCCUUUUAUUCUUUUGGCUCUAUUGGAUGUUCUAUGCACAUCUUUUGUUUUUCACAAUUAUUGUUAUCAUGGAAGCAGAUCAAAAGGACACUUUUUU